Molecule: long non-coding RNA, 1217 nt
Filed under: Daucus carota (carrot)
Lineage: Eukaryota; Viridiplantae; Streptophyta; Magnoliopsida; Apiales; Apiaceae
Description: long non-coding RNA (DCAR_LNC004080)
Source: RNAcentral
UCCAGCUUGCACCAACCUCAUCAACUUUCCUGAACACUCCUCGACCACUGGAUCCUCAACUCUGUCUCCUCGCCUAGCAUUAGCCUUAUUCACAAUCUCAAUCAAUCAUCUCAUCUUUAAGCCUUUCUGAAAUGGUUAGAAAGGAAUAGCAAGGGUGAGCAACAAUGCUCAGCAAGUAAUAAUAAACAAUGAUAGUUCUGAAAUGAUAUAACAGAAGUUCACGAGUUCAAGAUAUAAGAGGAUUCAACCUGAGUUCAUGAGUUCAUGGUAUUGUAUAGAAUGAUUUACAAUACCUUGCAGCAUUUAAACUGAGAAAUUCAAUCUUUCCAAAGAAUUAUUGAAUUGGACUAUCACAUUUUAAUUAAAACCAAGGUUAGGCAGCUGAUCAGUUCCGCACUAACCCCGAGCAGGCCCCGCCAUGCUCUAUCACUGGAUCCAAGGCACUCAUUGGCCUAACAUGACCACGAAUCUGGUCCACAGGUUUAUAUAAAAACAAUAAUCCAAUUCUCUAAUUCAAUUCAAGAAGCCAAUGUAAAUUAACAGAACAUCAUCAUAAAUAUCAUCAACAACAGAAUAAUUCCAAUUCAAACUUUGAUAAUAAUCUAUUCAUAAAUCAUGAUCCAUCAUUUCAUAAAUCACAGUUCAGGAAAUCCUCAACUAUUCAGUAUCCUCCAUUAUCGGCUAAGCAACUGAAUUUAGCCUGCUAAACCAGCAUGACAAUGGUGGGUUGAAUAAUCAAGAAGAUCCCAAUUCAUUCAAAGCUCUAACUAUCACUGAGCAACACAUGCUUCAAUGACAAUCUGAACUUCGAAUUAAUUUGUAAAACGGAAAUUCUUUAGAAACUUGAAGAUUAGAAAGAAUGGGUCAGAAUACUCGCACUUUCGAACAUUGAAAAGAAAGGUAUGAAUACUUGAAACAUAUACCAAAGGAAUGGAUCAGAAUAUUUGCAAUAUAUCCAAAAGAAGGGUUUAGGAUACUUGCCUUAAAUCUGACUCCCGUCUCACAGCUCAUUCUCAUCUUUCCACUUUCACAAUCUAUGCAUCUCAUAAUCUCUAGACCAUCUCUAGCUAUACUCUAUUCGCCACAUCGCUUCGCUUACUCGAUUCAUCCCUUAUUCGCUUUGCAAUACCAUUCUGACUUUCUGACGUCUUCGAACGUACACGUCUCCUCCAAAUCCUUUACGAAAAUAAGAUCAUACUAUAGUCACUAAACAAUAU